UACAGAGGUCCCAAGCGUUGUUCGGAUUCACUGGGCGUAAAGGGUGCGCAGGUGGGUUGGCAAGUUCGAUGUGAAAGCCCCGGGCUUAACCCGGGAACGGCAUUGAAUACUGUCGAUCUGGAGGAUUGGAGGGGGGACUGGAAUUCUUGGUGUAGCAGUGAAAUGCGUAGAUAUCAAGAGGAACACCAGUGGCGAAGGCGAGUCCCUGGACAAUACCUGACACUGAGGCACGAAAGCCGGGGGAGCAAACAGG
RNAcentral lists this ribosomal RNA (253 nucleotides) under uncultured bacterium. RNAcentral's name for it is "partial 16S ribosomal RNA". It matches the Rfam family "Bacterial small subunit ribosomal RNA", at positions 524 to 776 of the family's 1533-position model. The record is from RNAcentral.